AUUCUGAUGGUAAAAAGGUGGAUUCUGCGGAGCUACAUGCUGAUGUUCAUCCUACUUCAUCCUAUGUUGAAGGAAAGAAAACUAAUGGAGAGGAACCUGUCGAGAUCAGUAAAGAUAGUGUUGAAGGAUGUACUGUCAUAAUUCUUGAUAGGAAACCCAUUGAUGUUGUUAAUAAAGAGGUUUCUGGGAAUGAACCAUCAGCAGUUGAGAUCUCGGUCAGUGGAGCUGAUAAAAGGAAGGUAGUGAAGCCCAUCAGAAGAAAAUCACUCGACUUAUCAGCAAAUAAGGAUGUUAUGAAGGGCCUUGGAACUGAACAAUCAUUAGAUCAAGCUAGUAGUGGAGGCCAAGGAACUUUGGUUGCUGUUGCUCAAGGAACAGAUGAGAAUG
This 387-nucleotide unclassified non-coding RNA is filed under the name Hevea brasiliensis (rubber tree). The record is from RNAcentral. Lineage: Eukaryota; Viridiplantae; Streptophyta; Magnoliopsida; Malpighiales; Euphorbiaceae.